GGGACCCGAAAGAUGGUGAA
Molecule: small nuclear RNA, 20 nt
Filed under: Arabidopsis thaliana (thale cress)
Lineage: Eukaryota; Viridiplantae; Streptophyta; Magnoliopsida; Brassicales; Brassicaceae
Description: snRNA_05042
Source: RNAcentral